GACGAACGCUGGCGGCGUGCCUAAUACAUGCAAGUAGAACGCACAGUUUAUACCGUAGCUUGCUACACCAUAGACUGUGAGUUGCGAACGGGUGAGUAACGCGUAGGUAACCUGCCUGGUAGCGGGGGAUAACUAUUGGAAACGAUAGCUAAUACCGCAUAAUAUUGAUUAUUGCAUGAUAAUUGAUUGAAAGAUGCUAUUGAAUCACUACCAGAUGGACCUGCGUUGUAUUAGCUAGUAGGUGGGGUAACGGCUCACCUAGGCGACGAUACAUAGCCGACCUGAGAGGGUGAUCGGCCACACUGGGACUGAGACACGGCCCAGACUCCUACGGGAGGCAGCAGUAGGGAAUCUUCGGCAAUGGACGAAAGUCUGACCGAGCAACGCCGCGGGAGUGAAGAAGGUUUUCGGAUCGUAAAGCUCUGUUGUAAGAGAAGAACGGGUGUGAGAGUGGAAAGUUCACACUGUGACGGUAUCUUACCAGAAAGGGACGGCUAACUACGUG
Molecule: ribosomal RNA, 505 nt
Filed under: uncultured bacterium
Lineage: Bacteria
Description: partial 16S ribosomal RNA
Rfam family: Bacterial small subunit ribosomal RNA
Source: RNAcentral